This 67-nucleotide small RNA is filed under the name Sinorhizobium meliloti 2011. RNAcentral describes it as "putative ncRNA". Lineage: Bacteria; Pseudomonadati; Pseudomonadota; Alphaproteobacteria; Hyphomicrobiales; Rhizobiaceae. The record is from RNAcentral.
AUGAGGUCGGACGCAUCCACCUUGUGAACGCCGUCGCGGAACUUGCCGUAGAAGCGGUCAGAAUCGA